CUCCUAACGCUUGGAUAAGGUGCCUAAAUUAUUCGCUUAUUAGAUCCCAUGAAAAGGUGUUGGUUCAUUAUGACAGUAGGACGGUGGUCAUGGAAGUCGAAAUCCGCUAAGGAGUGUGUAACAACUCACCUACCGAAUGAACUAGCCCUGAAAAUGGAUGGCGCUACAGCGGAUUACCGAUACCAAGCCAUAAAAAAAAAAAAUUUUAAUGAUUUUUUAUAUAUUGCAUUUUUUUUUUUUUUUACUUUUGACCUCUCUUAUUUUAUUUUUUAUAUGUGCCAACUCAGAACUGAAACGGACAAGGGGAAUCCGACUGUUUAAUUAAAACAUAGCAUUGUGAAUAAGCUAUGAGAUAGUAAUGACACAAUGUGAUUUCU
Molecule: long non-coding RNA, 377 nt
Filed under: Piliocolobus tephrosceles (Ugandan red Colobus)
Lineage: Eukaryota; Metazoa; Chordata; Mammalia; Primates; Cercopithecidae
Description: lncRNA (ENSPTEG00000009011.1)
Rfam family: Eukaryotic large subunit ribosomal RNA
Source: RNAcentral